This 164-nucleotide non-coding RNA is filed under the name Parabacteroides acidifaciens. The record is from RNAcentral. Lineage: Bacteria; Pseudomonadati; Bacteroidota; Bacteroidia; Bacteroidales; Tannerellaceae.
CAUCGCGCGGAGGAAUCUGAAGGAAGCCGGCGACAAAUAUCUGGCCUGACGGACAGAAACUUCAUAUAAGGCAUUUGACCGUGGAUUAGAUUGCAUCACAUAUCAAAGUCCCAUAGCUAUUCGGAACGGUUGGUGUAAAUGAAGCAGGCAUAAGAUGGAAAGAC